UUUGGUGGCGAUAGCGAAGAGGUCACACCCGUUCCCAUACCGAACACGGAAGUUAAGCUCUUCAGCGCCGAUGGUAGUCGGGGGUUUCCCCCUGUGAGAAUAGGACGCCGCCAAGC
This 116-nucleotide ribosomal RNA is filed under the name Bacillus subtilis. The record is from RNAcentral. RNAcentral also lists the same sequence under 3 other names. Lineage: Bacteria; Bacillati; Bacillota; Bacilli; Caryophanales; Bacillaceae.